UACGUAGGGGGCAAGCGUUGUCCGGAUUUAUUGGGCGUAAAGAGCGUGUAGGCGGCUUGGUAGGUCCGCUGUGAAAACUCGAGGCUCAACCUCGAGAUGUCGGCGGAAACCACUUGGCUAGAGUCCGGAAGAGGAGAGUGGAAUUCCGAGUGUAGAGGUGAAAUUCGUAGAUAUUCGGAAGAACACCAGUGGCGAAGGCGGCUCACUGGCCCGGUUCUGACGCUGAGGUGCGAAAGCGUGGGGAGCAAACAGG
RNAcentral lists this ribosomal RNA (253 nucleotides) under uncultured bacterium. RNAcentral describes it as "partial 16S ribosomal RNA". It matches the Rfam family "Bacterial small subunit ribosomal RNA", at positions 524 to 776 of the family's 1533-position model. The record is from RNAcentral.